RNAcentral lists this long non-coding RNA (1051 nucleotides) under Chrysemys picta bellii (western painted turtle). Its description in RNAcentral is "lncRNA (ENSCPBG00000018641.1)". The record is from RNAcentral. Lineage: Eukaryota; Metazoa; Chordata; Testudines; Emydidae.
GCAGUAUUAAAAAAAUUGCAGUAAACCUCACUGGAGCAUUGUGGCGGAGAGGUCUGUCUGUGCAGGGGAAGCACCGGAGGGGGGAUGAUGCUGGGUGCUUUGGGAAUGGGGCUGCAGGAAGCAGAGAGAGGCUUGAGGCAGGUGAAUCAGUUAUUUGGGGUUUGUAGGGAGAGAGCUGGGAUCCCGGGGGUGGGGGGUGGAGGGUGUUUUUCGUGCAUCUGUAAUUCCCUGAGUUACCCAAGCUCAUUGCGGCAACAUCUGGCAGGAGUGGAGGUGUCGGGCGAUAUGGGCUUUAGAGUUCUCUCUAGUCUCUAUGGGUCAGUUCUAUGGCUCACUAGGGCCAGAGACUGGAUUUCCCGUCUGCAGGGAGCUGAGAUGCUGAGUCAGGGUACCAGGGCUAAGAAGCAAACACAGAUCUGGAUCUGAUCCUUUCAGGUGUGACCAGACCCGUCCCUAGGGGGGAACCUAAGAGCCCAUUCAGCCCAUCCGUCACACAGUCUCCUGACUCCUGCAGUGACCAGAGACCCUCCUCAAGCCCCUCCAUGCUGCCCCUUAUGUCUGGUACUCCCGGCCAACCCCCUGCAUAUUCAGAACCCUCCUCACAUCCCACUCCUUCUUAGUAUCCCCCGAAUCCCACUCAGCUCUGACAGAGACUCCAGGCCCCUCCCCAUGGGACUCCUAGCAAUAAGUCAUAUGUGACAAGGGACAAGGGGGAAAACUCUGAAUCAGAACCACAUGCGCCCUCCAGACCCAUCCCAGUGAGCUGGGCAAAUAACGGAGAAGAGUGGAGGGCAGAGGAGGAGAAUGGUGCAAAGGGCAAGAGUGGGGAAGGCCCCAACACUAAGAGCAGAGGGAUAAGGCAAGGCUAAAAAAUCCAUCUGGUCACCCUCUUUCCUCCAUCUACUGCAGUGUUCUGUAUGGGGACAAUAGAAACUCUCCCUGUCCCACUCAACCCCCCCCCCCACACACACACACACACACACUCACACAUACACACACAGGAUGUCCCCAGGGGAAUAAAAGCCUCCACUGGAUUGGAAAUACUGACCCU